Molecule: ribosomal RNA, 395 nt
Filed under: uncultured bacterium
Lineage: Bacteria
Description: partial 16S ribosomal RNA
Rfam family: Bacterial small subunit ribosomal RNA
Source: RNAcentral
AUACGGAGGGUGCAAGCGUUAAUCGGAAUUACUGGGCGUAAAGCGCGCGUAGGCGGUUAAGUCAGUCAGAUGUGAAAGCCCCGGGCUCAACCUGGGAACUGCAUUUGAUACUGCUUAGCUAGAGUAUGGUAGAGGAGAGUGGAAUUUCAGGUGUAGCGGUGAAAUGCGUAGAUAUCUGAAGGAACAUCAGUGGCGAAGGCGGCUCUCUGGACCAAUACUGACGCUGAGGUGCGAAAGCGUGGGUAGCAAACGGGAUUAGAUACCCCGGUAGUCCACGCCGUAAACGAUGUCAACUAACUGUUGGGCGGGUUUCCGCUUAGUGGUGCAGCUAACGCAAUAAGUUGACCGCCUGGGGAGUACGGCCGCAAGGCUAAAACUCAAAUGAAUUGACGGGG